ACUGGGUGUGGUGGUGCACGCCUGUAAUCCCAGCAGCACGGGAGGCUGAGAUGGGAGAAUCUCAAGUCCACAGCAAGCCUCAGCCUGGGUGAGGCACUAAGCAACUCAGUGAGACCCUGUCUCUA
Molecule: small RNA, 125 nt
Filed under: Marmota monax (woodchuck)
Lineage: Eukaryota; Metazoa; Chordata; Mammalia; Rodentia; Sciuridae
Source: RNAcentral